Pezoporus flaviventris is the source of this 346-nucleotide long non-coding RNA. RefSeq lists it as uncharacterized. The record is from RefSeq and is a predicted model, not a curated record. The transcript has 2 exons. NCBI's taxonomy places the organism in Eukaryota, Metazoa, Chordata, Aves, Psittaciformes, Psittacidae.
GUCUAUAAAGAUUUCAUGCAUAGAAGUGGCAUUUCCUUAUAUAAUCAAUUUCCUAAUUUAAUACUGGAGUAUGGUGGUCAGAGAAGAGCAUUCUGGCAGAAAGGGAACCAUGCAACAGAGCAAGUGAGAAGUGGUAAUAGCAGGGGAGCAGGCUUGUUUAUCUGAUCACCUUCAGCACUUUGGGAGGAGCUACCAACAAAUGACAGCUGUCACCGAGGAGAUGAAGUAAAAGCACCAGAAAUGCAAACCACCUUGUCAGUCUCUAGUGGAAAGAAUGCAAUUGCCUGCCAAGGAUAAGGAUAAAUUUAACACUGAGUCACAGAACAUGAAUAACUGGUGUUUCAGG